UCUUUUUGCCAUCAAAAGUCCUUUUUGGGGUUCAUUUUCGUCCCUUCACACUGCAUGCAGGAUUUGAAAGGCUAAGUGUAGACACUAAACAGGUGUCUGAAAUAACAAUUCAUUUCUCUCUCCCCCAAGGGAAAUCAAGUGUUGCCGGAAUGUUCUAACUCAGACUUAAACUAUCUGAAGAUCAGUGCACGCAUCUCUUCUGUGCACAGCAUAACGUUCCAUCUCAGCUGGUGGGAGAUGAAUGGGAGCUCAGAUGGUGAGCUUUGGGGUGAAAUUUCCCAACUUUGAGAUUAUCCCUACCUACCAACGCACUACAAUCUGGGUAGGACCCAGCAGGGCGUGGAGCCAGGCAACGCAUGGUGUAGGAAUCCCAGCCAGGCAACAGCUCCCGGAGUCUGGUAGCCCCUCCUCGUGCCCUCAGCUUCCCCAAGGAUGCCUUCGGAUGCCCAGCUCAGAAGCACACAGCCUCAUCACUAGCCUCAUCACUAA
This 489-nucleotide non-coding RNA is filed under the name Pongo abelii (Sumatran orangutan). The record is from RNAcentral. Lineage: Eukaryota; Metazoa; Chordata; Mammalia; Primates; Hominidae.